This 253-nucleotide ribosomal RNA is filed under the name uncultured bacterium. RNAcentral describes it as "partial 16S ribosomal RNA". It matches the Rfam family "Bacterial small subunit ribosomal RNA", at positions 524 to 776 of the family's 1533-position model. The record is from RNAcentral.
UACGUAGGGGGCAAGCGUUGUCCGGAAUCAUUGGGCGUAAAGAGCGUGUAGGCGGCCAGAAAAGUCCGCUGUGAAAACUCGAGGCUCAACUUCGAGCUGUCGGUGGAAACUUUCUGGCUAGAGUCCGGAAGAGGAGAAUGGAAUUCCUGGUGUAGCGGUGAAAUGCGCAGAUAUCAGGAAGAACACCCGUGGCGAAGGCGGCUCUCUGGAACGCAACUGACGCUGAGACGCGAAAGCGUGGGGAGCAAACAGG